CAUGUAAGUCUGUUGCAACCCCUGUUCUCUCAGCACUUUGACGGUGCGCAUCGCCGUGUGGGGCCGCCACCGACCACCCUCUCCCCGCACCGCAAUUUGAGAUAGAGAGGGCCGGAGAAACAAAGGGACCCGCGACGACGGAGGCAAGGCGUCGGUCGCGCGCGGCUCCUCUCGCCGUUCCUUCCGCGGCUCCCGCGACGACGGAGGCACGGCGCCGGUCGCGCGCGGCUCCGUCGAUCCCGCCCAUCUGCGUUGAGCCUGUGUCCUAGGGUUGCUGCCGCUGCACUCCAGCGAUCCGGCCACCACCACGGGCCGGCGGCGACGCAGGCCAUGGAGGGUUAUCACUGCCGUCGUCCUCCAUGUGCAGAUCUCUCCAUGGGGAGCCCUCCGUCCCGGUGUCCUCCAUGGGCCGCUCCGCCGCAACAGGCCUCCGACGACCUCGCCGGGAACAACUCCACCCCUGCGCGGCCGAUGUGAUGGCUGCAGAUCUUCAGGCCUAGGAGCGGCCUUUCUUCACUUUCCAGUUGCAAGGGAAAAAGCUGUGGAGAAUCGAACGGAUUUAGUCACUGCAGCUACCAUACUGAUCUAUAGAAAUUAUAUGUUAUAGAAAUACUAGAUUAGGGUUGAGUGGAUGCAAGUUUUAUUGUUUCCCCCGAUUUCAUUUUAGCCACUGUCAGCUUCUGCAAGAAUACAAUGAAGUCUCUUUCAGUUUUCUCACUGCAUGGUCUGAUCUUUGUUCGCAUUUUCUUUGGCUGUCGUUGGAAAAUGGAAUAAGAUGAUGGACCAAGUUAUGUGGUUACAUUGCAUAAUUGCUCUGAAGCUCACAAGAAAUUUUAGUAACCUGCAUUUGCUCUGCUCAAUAAACCGCUGUGUUGUGGAGUUUCUUA
Lolium perenne is the source of this 887-nucleotide long non-coding RNA. RefSeq lists it as uncharacterized. Lineage: Eukaryota; Viridiplantae; Streptophyta; Magnoliopsida; Poales; Poaceae. The record is from RefSeq and is a predicted model, not a curated record.